ACUCAAAGGAAUAGACGGGGGUCCGCACAAGCGGUGGAACAUGUGGUUUAAUUCGACACUACGCGAGGAACCUUACCUGGGCUUGACAUGCACCUGCUCGGCGUAGAAAUACGUUUUCUUGUAGUAAUACAAGCGAGUGCACAGGUGCUGCAUGGCUGUCGUCAGCUCGUGUCGUGAGAUGUUGGGUUAAGUCCUUUAACGAGCGCAACCCUUGCCACUAGUUGCAACGUCGAAAGAUGGCACUCUAGUGGGACUGCCUGGGAAACCAGGAGGAAGGUGGGGAUGACGUCAAGUCCUCAUGGCCCUUAUGCCCAGGGCUACACACGUGUUACAAUGGCGAAUACAACGAGGAGCAAGCUCGCGAGAGCAAGCAAAUCUCUUAAAAUUCGUCUCAGUUCGGAUUGAAGUCUGCAACUCGACUUCAUGAAGUUGAAAUCGCUAGUAAUCGCGCAUCAGAACGGCGCGGUGAAUACGUUCUCGGACCUUGCACACACCGCCCGU
Molecule: ribosomal RNA, 501 nt
Filed under: uncultured bacterium
Lineage: Bacteria
Description: partial 16S ribosomal RNA
Rfam family: Bacterial small subunit ribosomal RNA
Source: RNAcentral